UACAGAGGUGGCAAGCGUUGUUCGGAAUUACUGGGCGUAAAGGGCGCGUAGGCGGUCCUGUAAGUCUUGUGUGAAAUCCCUCGGCUUAACUGAGGAACUGCACGAGAUACUGCGAGACUUGAGUUCGGGAGAGGAAAGCGGAAUUCCGGGUGUAGCGGUGAAAUGCGUAGAUAUCCGGAGGAACACCGGUGGCGAAGGCAGCCCUCUGGGCUAACACUGACGCUGAGGCACGAAAGCGUGGGGAGCAAACAGG
Molecule: ribosomal RNA, 253 nt
Filed under: uncultured bacterium
Lineage: Bacteria
Description: partial 16S ribosomal RNA
Rfam family: Bacterial small subunit ribosomal RNA
Source: RNAcentral